GAAGGCUUCUGGGCACAGUCAAGUACUUGCGAAGUCAGAGUGUGAUCGAGAUGGGAUUGACCACACCAAGAGUUAGAGAAGAAUGAGUCGCUGUAUUUCAAUUUAGCAAAACCUUGGCCAGGGUAAUCCAUCAGAUGGAUUUGAUAUUUUGAAAUACAAUGUGGACAACCUGAUCAGAGUUGACAGUUGAACUCUGGGGUGUCCUAUGAUCAUUUUGGUCAAGGGGAUCCGCAUGGGUUCUAAGGAUGUUGUUCUACACAUUCGACCUAUCCGAUCAUCGGGUACCAUUGCUAGAUGGUCACUUCGAUUGGUACAGAAAUUUGUUCCUAUGCUACCGACUUAGGUUCGGACCUAUGAGGUCACACACAUUAGAGUUCAUGAUCCGAUCGGAUAGUCGAUCAAUGAUUAAGAAUCAUUCUAGGAUUAAAUGAUCAAUACGAUUGACAUUUAACCCAGUGCAAGUAUUGCAGGAGGAUCGAUUAGCAAUUCGAUUGCUAAUUGGCUUAAGCC
This 510-nucleotide long non-coding RNA is filed under the name Elaeis guineensis (African oil palm). RNAcentral's name for it is "long non-coding RNA (EGUI_LNC082700)". Lineage: Eukaryota; Viridiplantae; Streptophyta; Magnoliopsida; Arecales; Arecaceae. The record is from RNAcentral.